RNAcentral lists this ribosomal RNA (527 nucleotides) under uncultured bacterium. Its description in RNAcentral is "bacterial SSU rRNA". It matches the Rfam family "Bacterial small subunit ribosomal RNA", at positions 777 to 1304 of the family's 1533-position model. The record is from RNAcentral.
AAUAGAUACCUGGUAGUCCACGCCGUAAACGAUGUCGACUUGGAGGUUGUUCCCUUGAGGAGUGGCUUCCGGAGCUAACGCGUUAAGUCGACCGCCUGGGGAGUACGGCCGCAAGGUUAAAACUCAAAUGAAUUGACGGGGGGCCCGCACAAGCGGUGGAGCAUGUGGUUUAAUUCGAUGCAACGCGAAGAACCUUACCUACUCUUGACAUCCAGAGAACUUAGCAGAGAUGCUUUGGUGCCUUCGGGAACUCUGAGACAGGUGCUGCAUGGCUGUCGUCAGCUCGUGUUGUGAAAUGUUGGGUUAAGUCCCGCAACGAGCGCAACCCUUAUCCUUUGUUGCCAGCGGUCCGGCCGGGAACUCAAAGGAGACUGCCAGUGAUAAACUGGAGGAAGGUGGGGAUGACGUCAAGUCAUCAUGGCCCUUACGAGUAGGGCUACACACGUGCUACAAUGGCGUAUACAAAGAGAAGCGACCUCGCGAGAGCAAGCGGACCUCAUAAAGUACGUCGUAGUCCGGAUUGGAGU